This 5439-nucleotide long non-coding RNA is filed under the name Sus scrofa (pig). Its description in RNAcentral is "lncRNA (ENSSSCG00000054893.1)". Lineage: Eukaryota; Metazoa; Chordata; Mammalia; Artiodactyla; Suidae. The record is from RNAcentral.
AAAAAGGAUAGUCGAUUUACAAUGCUUCUUCAGUUUCUGUUGCAUAGCAAGUGAUCCAGUCACACACAGUUCCCUGCGCUAUACAAUAGGGCUCCAUGGUCCAUCCAUUCCAAAUAUAACAGUUUGCAUCCAAACUGCCCAUUCAUCCCACUCCCUCCUCCCUCCCCCUUGGGAAUCCCAAGUCUGCUCUCCUUGGCUGUGAUCUGUUUCUGUUUCGUAGAUAGGGUCAUCUGUGCCGUAUUUUAGAGUCCACAAAUAAGGGCUAUCAUAUGGUAUUUGUCUUUUUGUUGUUGUUGUUGUUGUUGUUGUUUUUAGGACCACACCCGCAGCAUAUGGAGACUUCCAGGCUGGGGGUCAAAUCAGAGCUGCAGCCGCUGGCCUACACCACAGCCUCACCAAUGCCAGAUCUGAGCCUCAUCUGCAACCUACACCACAGCUCACGACAAUGUCGGAUCUCCAACCCACUGAGAGAGGCCAGGGACUGAACCUGAGGCCUCAUGGAUGUUAGUCAGGUUCGUUUCCACUGAGCCAUAACAAGAACUUCCUUAGUAUUUGUCUUUUUCUUUCUGGCUUACUUCACUUAGCAUGAGAACCUCUAGUUCCAUUCAUGUUGCUACAAAUUUAUCUUUUUUAUGGCUGAGUCAUAAUUCCAUUGUGUACUUGUACCACAUCAUCAUAAUCCAUUCAUCUGUUGAUGGACAUUGAGGUAAUUGCAUUCUAAAAUGCCAAGUUUCUUUAAAUAUAAGGGAGAGAAUAUUAAAAGACUAGGUGUUUUAGACAGUAUUUUUCUAAUGAUAUCAGUGUUUGGAGGACAUUAAUAUCUGUAUUUAUGAUAACUGAACAUUAAGCCAGUUUAUUCUUGCCAGAGCCACCAUUUUAUUCCUUCUCUUUGAUGUGUAUACUAAUACUUGUAACGAGUCAAAGUAUAAAGCAAUUUAAGCAUUCAUGCAGUGAUCAAAUUUGUCUAAAUCUAGAAAUUUAAAAAUACAUAGUAAAUAAACAUAGUUUCAAUCAACUAUCAAGUAUUUGUUGGAAAUUACUUUUGACAGCCGCUAGUAAAAAGUGCUAGAAAUUAAAAUUAAAUAAGGUUUGCUCUUUAUCCUUGGAUAUCUUAUAGGUUCUCAAGGGAAAAAACGUGUCUUGGACAGAUGCGUGCACAGGUACACAAAUGUAAAUGGAAGACAGUAUAUUAUUUAAUGCUGCAGGUGUUUAAAAGAAGUGAAUGAUGACUCUACACAGGAAAGAAGUAGUUGUUAAACAUGAAAUAUCAUAUAAACACAUAUAUAAAUGCCCUUUGAUGCUGAUAGUUAACCUCACAAUCCUGAAACUAAGAGCAACAGACAUGAUGGAGUGACUGACAUCAGAGGACACAGGAAGAGACGAGCGACGUCCCUGAAUUAUACAAACAAAAAUAGAAAAUAGAGAAUACCCGCUGCUUAGACAUUUAGUGAAUGUCUAAGUACUUAGACAUUACAUGUGCAGUUAAAAGCACCCAUACAUUACGUUAUUGCACUCUGUAAACACAAACACUCACAUUGUACAUACAGUGCACACAUACAUGCAAUAUGUGGUGUAGCUAUUCUAGCACUCAAGUUAAACUAGUAUCUAUUCCAUUUGAUAUUUAUGUUUAUUAAACUUGAAAAUGCUCUGCAUAAUUUCUAAAUUGUACCUAUAAUGUUAUGCAGAACUUAAAUUAUAAAUCUAUUAAAUUAUAUACAAAAUUUAUAUAAAUUACACAUAUGCUUAUUAUGCUACAUGGAGCUACGUACAAGCAUUUGUCUAUGAAAAGUAAAAUUCCAUUCGUUGCCCAAAGUAUUUGGUUAGCGUUCUGAAAGAUACCCUCUCCCCCACACACACAUUCUCGAAAGUUUUUUUUUUGCUUAUUAAACCUCAGCCAUUUGCCCUAGUCUCUCACAUUCACUAGGCCUCAACAAAGGCAUUAAGUGCUUUCCAGAACAUAGAUUUAAAUGAGGCCCCUGCCCAGUGGGCUUACAACCUAAUUAGACAGAGACAGUUGACCAACAUAUGCCCACAGACUCCAGUUGGCCACUUAUUUAUUCUCUAAUUAACAUAAAGCAGCAGGGCAACAGCUCCGCCUGUGCUCAGUGAGCAGGAGCGCGGCCCUGUGCUGUAGUACUCUGUGGGAAAUGAGACGGCUUCUUUCUGCGGGGGCCUCCAGCAUGCUCAUUCUCUUGCUUCUCGCUUGUCUCCAUAAUUAAUAUUCCUGUGCAUAGCUCGCUGGGACUGUAUGUCCAAGCAAACAUACCCUCACGGCACAGCAGAACCGUUUAGUUCAGCUGUCUUGGUGAUCAAUACAGGUCACAGGAGGGUCGACUUGACCAUUGCACAGGCAUCUCUAUUGAGAAGGUGGGCCAGGGUAAGCCACGGUGGUUACCCCAUGCUCUGAUUUAGCCAAACAAGGAAGUUUUUCACCUGAAAGCAUUAGAUCAUCAAGGUCCAGUGGCAUUUUUCUGUAAUUCCCACUACCCUUUAUAAGCCUUACUGCAGGCUCUUUGAUUUUUGAAAUUUCUCCCUCCCUCUGGGGUGCUCCACGAGAUUCUAAAAAAGAAAACAUUUGAAAUGACAUAAAACACAUAUAGUGCCAUCUUAUUUUUUAAAAAAUAUGUAUACUACAAUUUAAUGUGAUGAGAGAAGGAUAAGCACCAGAACAAUAAGAUAAAGUUUGAAAAUAAGUUGACAUCUGGAAUGCAUGUCAAGCACUCACAAGUGUUUGCUAGAUAAAAGCUUUGGGGAAGGUUGUGGAUGCUUUUACUAUAUAUUAAUUGUUUAUCCAGAGAAAAAAAUGCAAGCAAAAGAAUCAUAUUUUAUUUUCCUAACUCUGAGGAUAUAUUCGAUAGCGGAAAAGGCAAGCUACUUUGUUUUUUUAGGUUAUAGACAAAAAGUAUUGCCAGUUACCAUCCCUCUGAUGCUCUCUUUAAAAUUCUGUGUAAUGCUCUUGACCUAAUAUUCAUCCUUAUUUAUAUCUUCUAAGAAUAAAAACCUCCACAGCUGCACAGCCGUGAAUUUUUCACCCUGUGGUUUUCAAUCUGCUAUUAGAAAGCUGAUAUUCUUCUUUUGUGGGGGUGGGGUUGGGGUUGUUUUUUUCCCUAUUUUAAUUUAUUUUGAAAAAAUAAUAUAGACAUUGGAGAAUGUGAUUUCCUAUAUUAUUCUCUCCUUGUUUAACAUUCUAAUAUGUUUAACUUCACACAAGACUGCCACUGGAUAGUUAAUAUCAUUGUUUUAAAAUGUCUCUCAAAUGAACUUGAAAAUAAUAUAGUAGAUAUUUGAACUAGUAGGAAUGUAAUACUUAUAAUAAACACAUAUUUUCCUAUAAAUUGUGAAUCUGUGGACCUGAUGCUAUGUUGCUGAAAUAAAGAAAAUAGGCAAUUCCAUUCAAAAUAUAUAUAUUUUUAAUUAGUCAAUGCAUUCAAAAUAUUUAAAAGAAACUUUCAGACCUAAUGACAUUACAAAAGGGCUUAAUCUUCACAAGUAAAAUGAAGAACAGAAGGCCUGAGUCAAAAUAUAACAAAGAUCUAAGUUCUAGAUUUUUAAAAUUAUAUAACCAUUACUUAUAAUUGCAUCUAAACAGAGUCCCAGAAAUACCAAUGUUAUUAUUUUUGCAUUUAAAUUGAAUUGGUACAAUCAGACUUGUCACAUUUUAGAAUUUAGGAAUUCUUUUGAUAAAUGUCCUUGCUUUCGAACAUCUUGUUCUUUAGAAGUAAAUGGUCAUUUUAGUCUCUGAAUCAGAUUGUGCUUCGAUUCUUUCUUUUUUUGUAAUGCAUGUGUGAACAUGCUCUCCAUAGUAAAAAAAUUCAAAUUGAAAGGGAUAUCUAAAGUUAAUGUGUUUUUACUUAGGUCUACUUAAAACUCUACCUCUGGAAUUUGAAACUGUGCAAUUUUUGUGAGUUUUUUUUAAAUUUUAUUUUUAUUCCUUUUUUCCUCUCUCUUCUUCUAUCUUCGUUUUCAUCAUGGAAAUUUCAUGCAGCAGAAAAGGAAAUUCCAUCCAAGUUGAUCUAACCUGAGGGCCUCCUCCAAGCAUGCUGGAGAAUCAGUGCUCUGUCACCUCUGAGAGUAGAAUUCAUUUUGGAUUCUUGUAUUACCUGCCUCUGGUACUUGGGCACUUAUUUGUUGACUGACUGAGUUAUUUUAACUUUGGUAUUAUGUAAAUACUCUUUAUUGCACAAUUUCCAGUUUAGCAUUUUUAAAAUCAAGACUAAAUUGAAACAGUUAAAGGUGUAGUGCCUUCUCCCAUAUAAUAAGUACUUACGUACAAAUGUCCAAGCAAAAUGAAUAAAUCAAAGCUAGGAAGAAGAAAUUAUAAUGUUGUGAUUCUUGAAAUUCAAGUUAUAAAAUAUUUUCAUUCCUCCAAAUACAUUUCCUUAAGAAAAACAGUUAUUUGCAAAUGGUUGCAACCAUCAGCAGAUCAGCACUCAAAAAAUGUAAUAGUUAUGUCAGAAUUUGUAAGACUUAGUUGUUUUGAUGGUUCUUAAUAGGUGGAACUAGCAUUUCUGGGCUCUUGCCAGUUGACCAUCUGUCUAGGUGGUCCAUGGAGAAUCAGAACAACUGAACUUUUGGCACAUCCAAUUAUACUGAGCAACUACCAUCCCUGUUUUGGGUUACAGAGAGGAGAGCAUUACCAAAAGAUUAGGUUAAUUGAUUUAAUGCUGAGAAUUUUGGGAAUCUGGUGAUAUUCAUAGGAGCAUCUCAAUGAGCCAUAGUUAAGUAGAACCCAUUAAAAUGUAAAAUAAUUAGAUGAAGGUCCUCACUCUUAAAGGUGCUUCAUUACACUUUGAGGAAUUCUGUCAUAACAUUAUUCUUGCCUUUUGCAUACAAAAUAAUAUAUGAAAUAAGAUUUGCACUGUACAUAUCGCUAAAGGAAGGCAGCUAGUAAUUUUUAAAAAUUGAUAUUUUUGUUGUUGGAGUACUGGGAGGGAAAAACUACUUUUAAGUGGAGAUCAGGAAGUAGACUAUUGCAAGUGUUGUCUCAAAUAUAGACAUGCUUUUGAGAAAUGAAAUUAGAGUGGAAGGUUUUACCAGGCUGAGGGGCCUUUUAACUAAAAACAGAGGAGUGAGUUAGGGAAUUGGAGAAGACUAAAACUAACAGAGUCUUUUUUAUUUUAUUUUAUUUUAUUUUAUUUUAUUUUAUUUUAAUUUUUUUAUUUUCCCACUGUACAGCAAGGGGGUCAGGUUAUCCUUCUUACAUGUAUACAUUACAAUUACUUUUUUUUUUUUCCCCCACCCUUUGUUCUGUUGCAAAUGGAGUCUUUAGUGUCAUCUUUAGAAAUCUAGAUUUGGUCAUAGAGAGCCAGUAAGGAAUUUUGAGCAAUGGAAUCAUAACACUUUGACAAUACAUAAUAUGCAGGGAAAAGUGUAGUUAGAAAAAUCUGGGAGGAAACCCCUAUAAUUAUAAAAUAUAGAAGAAAUAGUGCUUUCACUAGG